GGCGUUGUGGCAGAGUGGUCUAAUGCGAUUGACUAGAAAUCAAUUCCUUUCGGGGGCGACGGUUCGAAUCCGUCCGACGUCG
RNAcentral lists this transfer RNA (82 nucleotides) under Trichophyton rubrum CBS 118892. RNAcentral's name for it is "tRNA-Ser (AGA) (tRNA-Ser-AGA-2-1)". It matches the Rfam family "tRNA". Rfam says of the family: Transfer RNA (tRNA) molecules are approximately 80 nucleotides in length. Their secondary structure includes four short double-helical elements and three loops (D, anti-codon, and T loops). RNAcentral also lists the same sequence under 7 other names. The record is from RNAcentral. Lineage: Eukaryota; Fungi; Ascomycota; Eurotiomycetes; Onygenales; Arthrodermataceae.